This 234-nucleotide unclassified non-coding RNA is filed under the name Hevea brasiliensis (rubber tree). The record is from RNAcentral. Lineage: Eukaryota; Viridiplantae; Streptophyta; Magnoliopsida; Malpighiales; Euphorbiaceae.
GAAUUUUAUAAGUUUCAAGAUUCCCUGGUGGCGUUGGGCCCCGCCUGACAAAAAAUACACGUGGCGGGACUAGAAAAUUUCUAGGCUUCUUCCAGCUACUAGAGGAUCUGGAAAUUCAUGGUGUGCCGUUGAAUCCAAGCGGUGAUAGCACGGAUAUGAUGUGAUCCAACGGUGGAGAAGUAUAGUGGGCGAGAAAUUAUUUUGACGGUGGAUGAGGAUGAGCAUCGAUUUAGG